RNAcentral lists this long non-coding RNA (7881 nucleotides) under Brassica napus (rape). RNAcentral's name for it is "long non-coding RNA (BNAP_LNC026425)". Lineage: Eukaryota; Viridiplantae; Streptophyta; Magnoliopsida; Brassicales; Brassicaceae. The record is from RNAcentral.
AAUGUUAAAUAUGAAUAAAGUUACACGCACUAUAAAGAACACAACAACACAGCAAAUUAUACAUACUUUUUUUUUUUAGUACAAACAAGUUUCAAAGAAUCAAGUAAACACACAAUUUGACACUAGAGGUCGUUAUCAUAACCAUCUUUGGUUUUAGAGAUUCUUGAAGAGGAAGAAUAAUUAAAGUUUAUUAGAUUUCCAAUUUAUUAGUAUGCACAAUGUUUCUUCAGGUGAGUAUGUUACAGACACAAACACACAUACUAAAAGAAGAGAAAAAUACAGGAGCAGUAGAAACAAAAUGGGAGAAUCUACGUUUUAAGGUACAUGUUGUUUUUAAGGAACAAUGAUUACAUAUAGAGAUAGAUUCAAGAUUCACGAAAGGCAAAACUCCCCCACUAAUCUGAGACAAGUACCCUCAGAUCAUUAUCAUCAUUACAACUAGAACAUUGCUAACUGAUCUUGGAUGGUCACAUCUUGAAAUGUCCGCAUUUGAUUCUUCUAAGCAUAAAAAAACAUUUAUCUAAUGGUAAUUGAUCAACACCACAAAAGAAGGGUCCAUUGUAAAAAUGAUCGACACCAAUAUAGAGAAACCAAAACUUGCUAGACACAGAGAACAUCCAUUUUUGUGUCUUUCAAAUCCCUUAACGUGUUUCUGAUCCAAUCCAGCUUGCUAUAAAAAAAAAUUUUGUCUACUGUUAUUGCUUUAUAUUAGAAACAUUUGGGAUACAAUGAUCGUUUUGUAUUAACUGUUUCUAUUGAGUGUAACACAAGCACUGUACAAUUUUGAGUUUCAUUACCUCACAUACAUUGCAAUCUCCAGCCUCUCCUAUAAGGAGGCGCUUCUAGAUCUUAAUGGAGAACAUACUGGUUUCUAAACAGAUCUUUGACUAAAACAGUACCCAGUAUUUCAUUUACAAUUAUCAAAAUCAAUCUGAAGUCUAUUUUUUGAAAGAAAAUCGUCUUUUACUUUUUACCUAACCUCUUCUGCUCUAGCCUUGACCUUGGCGUGAAGACGAUGGUUCAUCAGCGUUAGACCCCUGAAACUGCCUUGGCUGUUGUGUUUGAGGCUGAAGUUGCUGAUUUACCUGCUCAGGCGGUGGUGGUACUGCUGCACUGGGAGAAGCUUGGUGGUGUUGAAUCAUAUUCAUGGGGAACCUAAAGCGUUGUUGUCCUUGGUGGAAUUGCUGUUGCUGCAGAUGGUAGUUGUAGUUCAUCACUGGCCUCACUGCUUGUUGCUGCUGAUUGUAGUUGUAGUUCAUCCAUGGCCUCACUGCUUGUUGCUGCUGAUUGGAGUUGUAGUUCAUCCAUGGCCUCACUGCUUGUUGCUGCUGAUUGUAGUUGUAGUUCAUCACUGGCCUCACUGCUUGUUGCUGCUGAUUGUAGUUGUAGUUCAUCACUGGCCUCGCUGCUUGUUGCUGCUGAUUGUAGUUGUAGUUCAUCACUGGCCUCACUGCUUGUUGCUGCUGAUUGUAGUUGUAGUUCAUCACUGGCCUCACUGCUUGUUGCUGCUGAUUGUAGUUGUAGUUCAUCACUGGCCUCACUGCUUGUUGCUGCUGAUUGUAGUUGUAGUUCAUCACUGGCCUCGCUGCUUGUUGCUGCUGAUUGUAGUUGUAGUUCAUCACUGGCCUCACUGCUUGUUGCUGCGGCUGGUUGUAGUUCAUCCAUGGCGGCUGAUUUUGCCUUCCCUGGUUCAAGGGAUGCCUAGCACUAAAAGCCCCAAGUGAUCCACCUGAUGAUCCUCCUAGACGCUCCAAGUACUCUUGAUACCCCUCUGAAUCCCUAGGAGCUUCAAUUUGCCAUAGAUGCUGUUGGCUCAUACCAGGCUGAUGGUUUUGCCUUUUCCUGGAGGAGGAGCUCUCACCUGCCUCAUACACUUUCCGCUUUCCCCUUUGCUGAGUAAACUCAUUCUGAACAGGUGCAACUGGUCGCUCCUGCUGAUAUGGAGGCACACUUGGUCUAAGAUGCGACAUCAUCAUCUGUUGUGACAUUUGAAAAGGAGCAACUGAUCCCUCCUGCUGAUAUGGAUGAGGCAUUUGAAAAUGUGCAACUGGUCGCUCCUGCUGAUAUGGAUGAGGCAUCAUCAUCUGUUGAGACAUUUGAGCGCCAGAAGGAACAAGACCACGGUUCUGUUGACUUGCAGACGAUAUUGAGCCACGUCCCAUCGUUUCACCACUCCUAUGAAACUGAAUAAGACCUGGAUCAUUAGUAACAAGACUAGGACUAACCUAAGCCAACGUUAAUGGUGGGCACAAGAAGCAGAGAUAACCAGAGACAAUAGACCUAGACUCUACCACUUGUACGACUAAACCUAAUCCAACAUUAAUGGCAGGACAAGAAGCAUAGCAUAGCAAAACAUAAACAAUAUGCUUAGACUCUCUAAUCACUUAAAAGAGUUCUUGAUCAUCACAAAGUUUGGGAUGUACCGUGCUCGAGUCUUCUUGACGAUUCUGGUUCUCAGUUGCUUGGUCUUGUAUGCUGAGACUAAUAGCAGAAGUGUUGGGAUUAGAAUCAAGAGGACGGUUGAGAUCACUUGCAAACGAUGCUGAGCCACGUUCCAUCAUUUGACCACUCCUAUAAAUCUGAUCAAAACUUGGAUCAGUACGGAGUAGUAACAAGACUACGUCUAACUAAUCCAACGUUAAUGGCGGGACGCGAAACAGAGCGAAACAGAGCGAAACAGAGCGAAACAGAGCAAAACAGAGCAAAACAGAGACAAUAUACAUAGACUCUAAUCACUAAAAACGUUCUUGAUCAUCACAAAGUUUAGAAGGUACCGUGGACGAGAAUCCUAAUGACCCAAAAGUUUCCUCCUCUGUAUUGAACUGAAUGCCACCAAGAUAGGGGCAAGGACUAUACGGGUUCUGUUGUUCACUUGCAAAAGAGGUUGAGCCACGUUCCAUCGUUUCACCACUCGUACGAAUCUGGUUUAAGUCUUGGAUCAGUACUAAUGUAGUAACAAGAAGCAGAGACAAUAUGCUUACCGCGAUCGCGUCUUCUUGACGAUUCUGAUUAAGAGAGCUCUCGAUAGCUUCUUCAUUGACUUCUUCUUCGGUUGUUUUGGCGGGAUCAACCUCCUCUCUCUGCACUUCGUCUUUAUCAGUUGGAGAAGUAGCCAUGGCCAGAUAUGAGAGAAGUUUCUAGAGAGAAAGAUGAGAGAGCGUAGAAGAAGAAACAAGUUAAAGAUCUUCUAAUAUAUGGCGCGAGUGCUUAGACCGUUAGGGUUUGUAAGUGCGUGUGAAACUCCACACUAACCGAAUCGUUGGAAUCUCACGCGCUUAUGAAGAGUGAGUAGUUACUAAUUACACCAAAAAAGGGUAGGAGAGUCAUUUUUAAAAAAGAUUAUGUAGAGUGAAGAGCAAGGAACCUGACUCCUUUGUUUUGAGUUUUAUAUAAGGGAUGGUAAUUGUUUUCAGAGAGUUUUGAGAAAGAGAAAUGGUUUAUUUAAUCUCGCCAUCUUUGGUUUUAGUGAUUUCUUGAUGAAUAAGAACACUGUUUAUUGGACCUCUACUGAUUAGUAAGCACAAUGUUUCUUCGGAUGAGUAUGUUUAGGGCUGGGCACACUUAUCGGUUCAGGAAUUACCCGAGCGACUUAUAUCUCUAAAACCAAAAAAUCAAAACUGAAUCGGAACCGAACCAAAAACCGAAUAAGUAUCCAAAUUUAUAUAAUAUAGUUUAUAGUUUAUAUACAAGUAAAUAUUAACAGUCAUUAUUGUGCACAAAAAAAACAGUCAUUGUUGCAUUUAAACUAAUCAAUUAAAAUACUACAUACAAACCAAAAUACCAAAAAAAAAUUACCAUAAUAAAUUUUAUCUAAAAUAUUUUAAUUAUCCAAAUUAUUCAAAAUUUUAUCCAAAAAUCCGAAAAAUCUGAUAUUUAAUUCGAAAACCAAAUUUUCUGUUUUUAAUAUGGAUUACCAGAAAACCGAAACCAAACUAAAACCAAAUGAAAUCCAAAUUUUUCUCGGAUAUUAGUCGGUUGCCAAUUUUGUUACCCGAACCAAAAUUUUUUUAAUACUAUAUUAGAUACUAAAUCUCUAGAAUUAAAAAAAAAAACAAAACUAAACCGGAACAGAAUGACAAAGACAAAAUAUGUUACAGACACAAACACACAUACUAAAAAAAAUACUGUAUACAAGAGCACUAGGGACAAGGACAAAGUGGAUCCGAAUCUACCGUUCACAAACAUGUUUUCAAGGAACAAUGAUUACAAGUAGAGAAAGAUUCAAGAUUGACAAAAGGCAAAACUCCCCCACAAAUCUGAAAUAAACACAUUGCAACGAGGUUAAGAAAGUAAGCAUUUAUUAAGCCACAUGACCAAGCUUUCUAUACACAUUUCCUAAAAUCCUUUAUUAAUAAAAUAAGUCCUAAAGCAGCAUAGUCUUUAUUCACAUAAGAGAUGACAAUACUAAAAGAUCAACCAAAACCAAUGCAAGAAAACGGCCCAACAGAAAUUUUGCUACAUAAUUUGGAAAAGUUCAACUAACUAGUUAGUUAUAAAAGUUGAUUAGACAGUCCUUCAGAGACUCUUUUGAGAUAGUGAAGAUAAUCAUGUCACUUAGGCUUCUGCUUAGUCUCGACCUCCCCUCCCAAGACCUCUGGCUCUACUGCGAUGACUUCCUCUGCCACGGUAAGAAGACUGUCCUGCAGCAUUGAACAUCCUCAUAGAACUCAUUUGGUUUUGCUGAUUAGUCACAGGUCCCAUGGAUUGCUGGUUGUACAUCACUGGAGCUGCUGCACUUUGAGAAGGUUGUUGGCGCAUACCAAAAGGCUGGUUGGGAUUGUUCUGACCUAAAAACAUUGUUGAUGCUUGUGCUCCAAGGUUUGGUUCUGUAAUCUGACUGCCAUACUGCUGGUUGUACAUCAUUGGAGCUUGAACUGGGAAUGGAUUGGGAACAACUCCCAUAUUGUUCGGCUGAUUGAUCUCACGUCUCAUGAAAUGAUGCGGCGGAUUGUAUACCAUUGGAGCUGCUGCAUUGAGAAAAGGUUGUUGGAACAUGCCAAAAGGCUGUCUGAGAUUGUGCUGACCUAGUUCUGUAAUCUGACUGCUCCUGAAACCAUGCUGCUGGUUGUACAUCAUCACUGGAGCAGCUUGACUUGGGAGUAGAUUCUGAUUGAUCUCAGGUCUCAUGAAAUGAUGCGGCGGAUUGUAUACCAUUGGAGCUGCUGCAUUGAGAAAAGGUUGUUGGAACAUGCCAAAAGGUUGUUUGAGAUUGUGCUGACCUAGUGGCUGGUUGUACAUUAUCACUGGAGCAGCUUGACUUGGGAGUAGAUUCUGAUUGGUCUCAGGUCUCGUGAGUUGCUGCUGUUGGUUGUACAUCAUUAAAGCUUGACAUAGAAUUUGAAGUAGAUUGGGAACAAUGUCCACAUGAUGUGGCUGCAUACAAAGAAAUUGGUUAAAAUUGUCUUGGCAUUGUCCCUCAUAAUGAUUGCAAGUCCUCAAAAUCUUCUUGUUUGAGUUAAUGAUUUCUUCUUCACUACUCAUCCUUCUCCUCUUUGUUGUUGUACUCUGGCAGUCAUUAACUUCUUCUUCUUCUUCAAAGAUGUCAAACGCAGCCCUUACUGGAUCAUUAAAUCUCUUGAACAGAUCCUCUUCAUCAAUAUAUUCUGCAAUUUUCUGGACGACUAGAGGGAUAAGUGUACCGCGAGGCGUUUUGAUGUCUGAUUCCAUUCUCACAACGUAGAAAGGUCUCCUUACAUAUCCAAAUCCAAAGUAGUAACCAACCACACGACCAAAAGGAGCUCUUGUUUCACUUAUAAGCAAAGUAGAACCUACUUUCAAAGUUCUAUCCUCUCCGAUCAUCUCAAGUACCACAUGACGUGCCCUUACAACCUGUGAUAACAAACAUAGUUUUAAAAUUCCUCUUGAUAUUCCCAUUGAUGUAGCUUCUAGGGGUUUUUUUUUUUUUGUUGUUGUUGAUAAAGGUCUAUAUUCUCUCUAGCUACACGAUUUAUAGUUAAGAAAUAGCAGAUAUCUCGUAGUACUUAUCCUCCUAGAUUUCUAAAGAUUUUCAUAUCUCUUGUGUAUAUUGAAAUCAUUAAGUUCUAACAAACAACAACUUAUCCUUUUAGUCUGGUUUAGUCCGGUUUGGUAAAGAACUUCGUUUGAUUAUCUAGUAGUACAAAUGGAAACACACUAAAAAGCUUUUAAGUACAAAACAAGCUCAAAGAAUCGAGUUAACACACAGUUUUAUUACACCUAGAGAUUGCAUUCAAGGAAAAAAAAUGUUAAUAAACAAAGACUGAUUCAAGAUUCACCAAGACCUAGACGCUUAGAUCAUGUCAACUAGAAGCUUGACUUGGAAAUAGAUUGGGAACAACGUCCAUAUGAUGCGGCUGCAUACAAAGAAGUUGGUUAGAAUUGUUCUGCCCUGAUAAUCCUUGUGCGCCAAGGUUUGGUUCUGAAAACUGACUGCUCCCAUCAUAAUGAUUUGAGUUAAUGAUUUCUUGUUCAUUAGUACUCAUCCUUCUCCUCUUUGUUGUUGUACUCUGGCAAUCAUUAACUUCUUCUUCUUCUUCUUCAUCAAAGACGUCAGUCUUUGCUGGAUCAUGAAAUAUCUUGAACAGAUCCUCUUCAUCAAUAUAUUGUACAGAUUCAUCGUGGAUUAGAGGGAGACGUGUACCGAGAGGCAGUUGGAAAUCUGACUCCGAUUCCAAUCUCACAAUAUAUAAAGGUUUCUUUACAUAGUCAAGUCCAAAAAUGUAGCCAACCACACGACAAAACGGAGCUCUUGUUUCACGAAAAAGCAUAGUAGAACCUACUUUCAAAGUUCUAAGCGCUUUGAACCUCUCUAGUAUCGCAUAACGUUCCUGUAAUACCUGUGAUCACAAGCAGGGUUUCAUGCAUUUAAGGCAUGGAACUGCUAAAGAAAAAACGAGAAUAUAUGUAAAAAUUCCUCUUGAGAUUACCAUGUUCACAAAUUCAACGUUGGUUUGAUGCGCAGCUUCAAGGGUCUAGACUCUCUCUCUCUCUAUAGUGAGGAAAUAUCUCAACUAUCUCUUUACUACUUAUCCUCCUAGAUUUGUUCUAACAAACAACAACUUAUCCUUUUGUUUAGUCUGGUUUAAUCCGGUUUGGUAAAGUACUUCGUUUACCCGGUUAUUUAAGUACAAAUGUAUAAAAAUAUUGAUCAAUAUACAAAUAAAAAUGAACAUCCGCACGCCCGCGCGGGUCAAGCUAUAGUGUUUGUCUAAAGGUAGGAACACACACACUCAGAAAAAAAAUCCUCCAGAAACAAGCUCAUAAAGAAUAGAGCAAAACACACAGUUUUACACUAGAGGAGGUUUGUAUUCAAGGAAAAAGAAGUUAAUACACAGAGACUGAUUCAAGAUUCACCAAGACCUAGACGCUUAGAUCAUUGUCUUAAAUUUUUUAAUAAGACCAAUCUUGUCCUAAUAGGUACUACUCUGCACUGUUUCUGUUCUCUACAACUCAUCCUUCUCUUUGUUACCGACUUAAUAUGCUAGUAGAGGUUCUAAUUCCAUUUGGUUGUUUGGGAGAGAGAGAUUCUGAAAACAAGCCCUGAACAAUCCUCGUUACUUGAUCUUAUACACUAAGCAACAAAACAACAACAUACAUUUUCGCACAAUGCAAGUCCUUUCGGUAACUAACAAAGUACAGCUUUGUUUUACAAUGUUAAAUAUGAAUAAAGUUACACGCACUAUAAAGAACACAACAACACAGCAAAUUAUACAUACUUUUUUUUUUUAGUACAAACAAGUUUCAAAGAAUCAAGUAAACACACAAUUUGACACUAGAGGUCGUUCAACAAACAAUGAUUACAAUAGGGAUGAUCUAAGAUUCACAGAAAAGAAAGAAAAAAAGAAAACGAGCUCCCCUACCAAUCAAAUCAUCUACCACUGGAGACGAGCACAAUGAUCUUUU